GAGUUUGAUCGUGGCUCAGAUUGAACGCUGGCGGCAUGCCUUACACAUGCAAGUCGAACGGCAGCAUGAUCUAGCUUGCUAGAUUGAUGGCGAGUGGCGAACGGGUGAGUAAUACAUCGGAACGUGCCCUGUAGUGGGGGAUAACUAGUCGAAAGAUUAGCUAAUACCGCAUACGACCUGAGGGUGAAAGUGGGGGACCGCAAGGCCUCAUGCUAUAGGAGCGGCCGAUGUCUGAUUAGCUAGUUGGUGGGGUAAAGGCCCACCAAGGCGACGAUCAGUAGCUGGUCUGAGAGGACGAUCAGCCACACUGGGACUGAGACACGGCCCAGACUCCUACGGGAGGCAGCAGUGGGGAAUUUUGGACAAUGGGCGAAAGCCUGAUCCAGCAAUGCCGCGUGUGUGAAGAAGGCCUUC
This 414-nucleotide ribosomal RNA is filed under the name uncultured microorganism. RNAcentral describes it as "bacterial SSU rRNA". It matches the Rfam family "Bacterial small subunit ribosomal RNA", at positions 9 to 419 of the family's 1533-position model. The record is from RNAcentral.